Molecule: long non-coding RNA, 376 nt
Organism: Oryzias melastigma (Indian medaka)
Lineage: Eukaryota; Metazoa; Chordata; Actinopteri; Beloniformes; Adrianichthyidae
Exons: 2
Source: RefSeq, a predicted model, not a curated record
UCAUGAUUCUGCCCCACCUUCACCUGCCUGAUUGCUCAUUCUGAACACCUGCGCGCUCCUCUAUUUAAGACUCUUCCCCUCCAGACUCAGUACUGGAUUGUUGUCUACUCCCUGAAGUUCUCUGUAUGCACGCCUUGCUGUUUUGUCUCGUCCUCGACCCUGCUCACGCUCUGGAUUCCUGCUCCUGCCUUCACCCUUCGGUACCUCCGUCUUGGACCCACUCUGAUCUCCGUGUUGCUGACCCUCGCUUCGUCCACGUCUUGCCGCCCUUUGCCUUCUCCUCUGGAUAUUUCUGCCGCCCUGAAGAACCCUUGGACUCCCCCUACUGCUUGGAGGACCUUACUGCAGACAUAAUAAACUGCUUUACUUAACUAAA